UAUAGAUGAAAAAUUAAAUUAUAAAGAAUCAAACCAAAUUAAAAAUAAAAUUAACUGAAUUAAAUCGAAUAGAAAUAAAUUUAAAAAUAGAUUUCAUCAAUAUGAAUAAAUAGAUUUCAUUCUAAAAAAAAAUGAAAGAAUCACAUCCUCUACAAUUCAAUCAAUCUUGAAGCAAAUCAUAAAAUACACAUUUCAAUAAUAUAAUACAUUAUAAUCAAAAUAACCCAUGAAAAAAAAAAGAAACAUCAAAGGACAAACCCAGAAAUAAGUUCAAAUAACACAAACCCAUAAAUGAUACAAUCCUAAAAAUAAGAAAUCAGAAAACCAUAAAUAAGAAAUAAGAAAAAUCCAGAUCUAAAUGAUGUCACUGUGAAAUAUGGGAGAUAGAUGUGCAAUAAACAGAUGUGGAACAACGUGCGAUGACCAGAUGUGCGACGACUAGGAGAUCUACGCCGUUCCUCCCCAAUCGGCAGUGACAAAUCAUCUACCCAGGGCCUCGCCAGUCACAUCUGUCGCUGUGGGUGAGAGAUGUUGGGGGGGGGGGCUGAGUGAGGGAAGGCAGAGGGGUAGGGGCUAGGUAGGAGUUGAAACAUUAAAG
RNAcentral lists this long non-coding RNA (598 nucleotides) under Manihot esculenta (cassava). RNAcentral's name for it is "long non-coding RNA (MESC_LNC005904)". The record is from RNAcentral. Lineage: Eukaryota; Viridiplantae; Streptophyta; Magnoliopsida; Malpighiales; Euphorbiaceae.